AACGAACGCUGGCGGCAUGCCUAACACAUGCAAGUCGAACGAGACCUUCUGGUAUAGUGGCGCACGGGAGCGUAACGCGUGGGAAACUGCCAUUAGGUUCGGAAUCACUCCCCGAAAGGGGUGCUAAUACCGGAUAAUGUCUUCGGAACAAAGAUUAAUCGCCUUUGGAUAGGCCCGCGUCGGUUUAGCCAGUUAGUAGGGUAAAACACUACUCAGGCGACGAUCCAUAGCUGGUGAGUGAGGAUGGUCAGCCACACUGGGACUGAGACACCGCCCAGACUCCUACGAUAGGCAGCAGAGGGGAAUAUUGGACAAUUGGCGAAAGCCUGAUCCAGCAAGGCCGCGUAAGUUAUGAAGUCCUUAGGGUUGUAAAGCUCUUUUACCAGGCAUGAAAAUGACAGUACCGGGAGAGUAAGCUCCGGCUAACUCCGUG
Molecule: ribosomal RNA, 433 nt
Filed under: uncultured bacterium
Lineage: Bacteria
Description: partial 16S ribosomal RNA
Rfam family: Bacterial small subunit ribosomal RNA
Source: RNAcentral